This 164-nucleotide unclassified non-coding RNA is filed under the name uncultured Helotiales. RNAcentral describes it as "sequence contains ITS1". Lineage: Eukaryota; Fungi; Ascomycota; Leotiomycetes; Helotiales. The record is from RNAcentral.
AAGAGUCAUUAUGGGUUUACACCCUAAUACUCCACCCUUUGUUUACAUUACCUUUGUUGCUUUGGCAGGCCCGUCUUUACGACCACCGGCUUCGGCUGGUCCGUGCCUGCCAGAGAACCUAAAACUCUUGUUUAAUUUAUUGUCUGAGUACUAUAUAAUAGUUA